RNAcentral lists this ribosomal RNA (159 nucleotides) under uncultured bacterium. RNAcentral's name for it is "partial 16S ribosomal RNA". It matches the Rfam family "Bacterial small subunit ribosomal RNA", at positions 1342 to 1500 of the family's 1533-position model. The record is from RNAcentral.
UCGCAGAUCAGAAUGCUGCGGUGAAUACGUUCCCGGGCCUUGUACACACCGCCCGUCACACCAUGGGAGCCGGUAAUACCCGAAGUCAGUAGUCUAACCGCAAGGGGGACGCUGCCGAAGGUAGGAUUGGCGACUGGGGUGAAGUCGUAACAAGGUAUC